RNAcentral lists this long non-coding RNA (25018 nucleotides) under Citrus x clementina. RNAcentral describes it as "Citrus clementina (C. clementina) long non-coding RNA (CCLE_LNC006349)". The record is from RNAcentral. Lineage: Eukaryota; Viridiplantae; Streptophyta; Magnoliopsida; Sapindales; Rutaceae.
AGGUCUCGUCGCAUUCCGUGUGCGGCGGACGAAGUUGGCCAGCCCCACCCCCCAAGGCUAUAGCCCACCCACUUUUGUGGCCUUUUUCCGCUGGACGAACUUGGCGCCCCGGCCUUCGGGCGGUUAUUUUUGGGCACGGCUUUGCCCGCGGCCUAUUUUUGGCACAUGGAGGCCCCUCGCAAAGUCUCGCGCAUUCUGAGUCCGGCGGACGAAGUUGGCCAGCCCCACCCUCCAAGGCUAUAGCCCACCCGUUUUUGUGGCCUUUUUCCGCUGGAUGAACUUGGCGCCCCGCCUUCGGGCAGUUAUUUUUGGGUGCGGCUUUACCCACGGCCUAUUUUUGGUGCACGGAGGCCCCUCGCAAAGUCUCGCGGCAUUCCGAGUCCGGCAGACGAAGUUGGCCAGCCCCACCCCCCCAGGCUAUAGCCCACCCGUUUUUGUGGCCUUUUUCCGCUGGACGAACUUGGCGCCCCGGCCUUCGGCGGUUUUUUUUGGGCGCGGCUUUGUCCGUGGCCUAUUUUUCGCACACGGAGGCCCCUCGCAAAGUCUCGCGGCAUUCCGAGUCCGGCGGACGAAGUUGGCCAGCCCCACCCCCCAAGGCUAUAGCCCGCCCGUUUUUGUGGCCUUUUUCCGCUGGACGAACUUGGCGCCCCGGCCUUCGGCUGGUUAUUUUUCGGCGCAGCUUUGCCCGCGGCCUAUUUUUGGCACACGGAGGCCCCUCGCAAAGUCUCGUGGCAUUCCGAGUCUGGCGGACGAAGUCGGCCAGCCCCACCCCCCAAGGCUAUAGCCCACCCGUUUUUGUGGCCUUUUUCCGCGGGACGAACUUCACGCCUCGGCCUUCGGGCGGUUAUUUUUGGGCGCGGCUUUGCCUGCAGCCUAUUUUUGGCACACGGAGGCCCCUCGCAAGGUCUCGUCGCAUUCCGUGUGCGGCGGACGAAGUUGGCCAGCCCCACCCCCCAAGGCUAUAGCCCACCCGCUUUUGUGGCCUUUUUCCGCUGGACGAACUUGGCGCCCCGGCCUUUUGGCGGUUAUUUUUGGGCGCGCCUUCGCCCGCGGCCUAUUUUUGGCACACGGAGGCCCCUCGCAAAGUCUCGCGGCAUUCCGAGUUCGGCGGACGAAGUUGGCCAGCCACACCCCCCAAGGCUAUAGCCCACCCGUUUUCGUGGCCUUUUUCCGCUGGACGAACUUGGCGCUCCAGCCUUCGGGCGGUGUUUUUUGGGUACGGCAUUGCCCGCGGCCUAUUUUUGGCACAUGGAGGCCCCUCGCAAAGUCUCGCGGCAUUCCGAGUCCGGCGGACGAAGUUGGCCAGCCCCACCCCCCAAGGCUAUAGCCCACCCGUUUUUGUGGCCUUUUUCCGCUGGACGAAAUUGGCGCCCCGGCCUUCGGGCAGCUAUUUUUGGGCGCGGCUUUGCCCGCGGCCUACUUUUGGCACACGGAGGCGCCUUGCAAAGUCUCGCGGCAUUCCGAGUCCGGCGGACGAGGUUGGCCAGCCCCACCCCCCAAGGCUAUAGCCCACCCGUUUUUGUGGCCUUUUUCCUCUGGACGAACUUGGCGCCCCGGCCUUCGGGCGGUUAUUUUUGGGCGCGGCUUUGCCCGCGGCCUAUUUUUGGCACACGGAGGCCCCUCGCAAAGUCUCGCGCCUUUCCGAGUCCGGCGAACGAAGUUGGCCAGCCCCACCACCNNNNNNNNNNNNNNNNNNNNNNNNNNNNNNNNNNNNNNNNNNNNNNNNNNNNNNNNNNNNNNNNNNNNNNNNNNNNNNNNNNNNNNNNNNNNNNNNNNNNCACCCGUUUUUGUGGCCUUUUUCCGCUGGACGAAAUUGGCGCCCCGGCCUUCGGGCGGUUAUUUUUGGGCGCGGCUUUGCCCGCGGCAUACUUUUGGCACACGGUGGUGGCUUGCAAAGUCUCGCGACAUUCCUAGUCCGGCGGACGAGGUUGGCCAGCCCCACCCCCCAAGGCUAUAGGCUACCCGUUUUUGUGGCCUUUUUCCGCUGGACGAACUUGGCGCCCCGGCCUUCGGGCGGUUAUUUUUGGGCGCGGCUUUGCCCGCGGCCUAUUUUUGGCACACGGAGGCCCCUCGCAAAGUCUCGUGGCAUUCCGAGUCCGGCAGCCGAAGUUGGCCGGCCCCACCCCCCAAGGCUAUAGCCCACCUGUUUUUGUGGCCUUUUUCCGCUGGACGAACUUGGCGCCCCAGCCUUCGGGCAUUUAUUUUUGGGCGCGGCUUUGACCGUGGCCUAUUUUUGGCACACGGAGGCACCUCGGAAAGUCUCGCGGCAUUCCGAGUCCGGCGGACGAAGUCGGCCAGCCCCACCCCCCAAGGCUAUAGCCCACCCGUUUUGUGGCUUUUCCGCUGGACGAAAUGGGCGCCCCGGCUUUCGGGCGGUUAUUUUUGGGCGCGGCUUUGCCCGCGGCUUACUUUUGGCACACGGAGGCGCCUGGCAAAGUCUCGCGGCAUUCCGAUUCCGGCGGACGAGUUUGGCCAGCCCCAACCCCCCCAGGCUAUACCCCACCCGUUUUUGUGGCCUUUUUCCUCUGGACGAACUUGGCGCCCCGGCCUUCGGGCGGUUAUUUUUGGGUGUGGCUUUGCCUGCGGCCUAUUUUUGGUACAAGGAGGCCCCUCGCAAAGUCUCACGGAUUCCGAGUCCGGCGGACGAAGUUGGCCAGCCCCACCACCCAAGGCUAUAGCCCACCCGUUUUUGUGGCCUUUUUCCGCUGGACGAACUUGGCGCCCCGGCCUUCGGGCGGUUAUUUUUGGGCACGGCUUUGACCGCAGCCUAUUUUUGGCACACGGAGGCCCCUCGCAAAGUCUCGCGGCAUUCCGAGUCCGGCGGACGAAGUUGGCCAGCCCCACCCACCAAGGCUAUUGCCCACCCGUUUUUGUGGCCUUUUUCCGCUGGACGAACUUAGCGCCCUGGCCUUCGGGCGGUUAUUUUUGGGCGCAGCUUUGCCCGUGGCCUAUUUUUGGCACACAGAGGCCCCUCGCAAAGUCUCACGGUAUUCCGAGUCCGGCAGAUGAAGUUGGCCAUCCCCACCCCCCAAGGCUAUAGCCCACCCGUUUUUGUGGCCUUUUUCCGCUGGACGAACUUGGCGCCCCGGCCUUAGGGCGGUUAUUUUAGGGCGCGGCUGUGUCCGAUGCUUAUUUUUGGCACACGGAGGCCCCUCGAAAAGUCUCACGGCAUUCCGAGUCCGGCGGACGAAGUCGGCCAGCCCCACCCCCCAUGGCUAUAGCCCACCCGUUUUUGUGUCCUUUUUCCGCUGGACGAACUUGGCGCCCCGGCCUUCGGGCGGUUAUUUUUGGGCGCGGCUUUGCCCGCGGCCUAUUUUUGGCACAUGGAGGCCCCUCGCAAAGUCUCGCGGCAUUCCGAGUCCGGCGGACGAAGUUGGCCAGCCCCACCCCCCAAGGCUAUAUCCCACCCGUUUUUGUGGCCUUUUUCCGCUGGACGAACUUGGCGCCCCGGCCUUUUGGCGGUUAUUUUUGGGCGCGGCUUCGCUCGUAGCCUAUUUUUGGCACACGGAGGCCCCUCGCAAAGGCUCACGGCAUUCCGAGUUCGGCGGACGAAGUUGGCCAGCCCCACCCCCCAAGGCUAUAGCCCACCCGUUUUCGUGGCCUUUUUCCGCUGGACGAACUUGGCGCUCCGGCCUUCGGGCGGUGUUUUUUGGGUACGGCAUUGCCCAUGGCCUAUUUUUGGCACAUGGAGGCCCCUCGCAAAGUCUCACGGCAUUCCGAGUCCGGCGGACGAAGUUGGCCAGCCCCACCCCCCAAGGCUAUAGCCCACCCGUUUUUGUGGCCUUUUUCCGCUGGACGAACUUGGCGCCCCGGCCUUCGGGCAGCUAUUUUUGGACACGGCUUUGCCCGCGGCAUACUUUUGGCACACGGAGGCACCUUGCAAAGUCUCACGGCAUUCCGAGUCCGGCGGACGAGGUUGGCCAGCCCCACCCCCCAAGGCUAUAGCCCACCCGUUUUUGUGGCCUUUUUCCUCUGGACGAACUUGGCGCCCCGGCAUUCGGGCGGUUAUUUUUGGGCACGGCUUUGCCCACGGAAUAUUUUUGGCAAACGGAGGCCCCUCGCAAAGUCUCGUGCCAUACCGAGUUCGCCGGACGAAGUUGGGCAGCCCCACCCCCCAAGGCUAUAGCCCACCCGUUUUCGUGGCCUUUUUCCGCUGGACGAACUUGGCGCCCCGUCCUUCGGGCGGUUUUUUUUGGGUAUGGCAUGGUCCGCGGCCUAUUUUUCACACACGGAGGCCCCUCGCAAAGUCUCGUGGCAUUCCGAGUCCGGCGGCCGAAGUUGGCCGGCCCCACCCCCCAAGGCUAUAGCCCACCUGUUUUUGUGGCCUUUUUCCGCUGGACGAACUUGGCGCCCCGGCCUUCGGGCAUUUAUUUUUGGGCGCGGCUUUGACCGUGGCCUAUUUUUGGCUCACGGAGGCCCCUCGCAAAGUCUCGCGGCAUUCCGAGUCCGGCGGACGAAGUUGGCCAGCCCCACCCCCCAAGGCUAUAGCCCACCCGUUUUUGUGGCCUUUUUCUGCUGGAUGAAAUUGGCGCCCCGGCCUUCGGGCGGCUAUUUUUGGGUCAAGUUUGCCCGCGGCCUACUUUUGGCACACGGACGCGCAUUGUAAAGUCUUGCGGCAUUCCGAGUCCGGCGGACGAGGUUGGCCAGCCCCACCCCCCAAGGCUAUACCCCACCCGUUUUUGUGGCCUUUUUCCUCUGGACGAACUUGGCGCCCCGGCCUUCGGGCUGUUAUUUUUGGGCGUGGCUUUGCCUGCGGCCUAUUUUUGGUACAAGGAGGCCCCUCGCAAAGUCUCGCGGCAUUCCGAGUCCGGCGGACGAAGUUGGCCAGCCCCACCACCCAAGGCUAUAGCCCACCCAUUUUUGUGGCCUUUUUCCGCUGGACGAACUUGGCGCCCCGGCCUUCGGGCGGUUAUUUUUGGGCAAGGCUUUGACCGUAGCCUAUUUUUGGCACACGGAGGCCCCUCGCAAACUCUCGCGGCAUUCCGAGUCCGGCGGACGAAGUUGGCCAGCCCGACCCACCAAGGCUAUUGCCCACCCGUUUUUGCAGCCUUUUUCCGCUGGACGAACUUGGCGCCCCGGCCUUCGGGCGGUUAUUUUUGGGCGCGGCUUUGCCUGCGGCCUACUUUUGGCACCCGGAGGUGCCUUGCAAAGUCUCACGGCAUUCCUAGUCCGGCGGACGAGGUUGGCCAGCCCCACCCCCCAAGGCUAUAGCCCACCCGUUUUUGUGGCCUUUUUCCGCUGGACGAACAUGGCGCCCCGGCCUUCGGGCGUUUAUUUUUGGGCGCGGCUUUGCCCGCGGCCUAUUUUUGGCACACGGAGGCCCCUCGCAAAGUCUCGUGGCAUUCCGAGUCCGGCGGCCGAAGUUGGCCGGCCCCACCCCCCAAGGCUAUAGCCCACCUUUUUUUGUGGCCUUUUUCCGCUGGACGAACUUGGCGCCCCGGCUUUCGGGCGGCUAUUUUUGGGUGCGGCUUUGCCCGCGACCUACUUUUGGCACACGGAGGUGCCUUGCAAAGUCUCGCGGCAUUCCGAGUCCGGCGGACGAGGUUGGCCAGCCCCACCCCCCAAGGCUAUACCCCACCCGUUUUUGUGGCCUUUUUCCUCUGGACGAACUUGGCGCCCCGGCCUUCGGGCAGUUAUUUUUGGGCGCGGCUUUGCCCGCGCCCUAUUUUUGGCACACGGAGGCCCCUCGCAAAGUCUCGCGGCAUUUCCAAUUCCGGCGGACGAAGUUGGCCACCCCCACCCCCCAAGGCUAUAGCCCACCCGUUUUUGUGGCCUUUUUCUGCUGGACGAAAUUGGCGCCCCGGCCUUCGGGCUGCCAUUUUUGGGUCAGGCUUUGCCCGCGGCCUACUUUUUGCACACGGAGGCGCCUUGUAAAGUCUCGCGGCAUUCCGAGUCCGGCGGACGAGGUUGGCCAGCCCCACCCCCCAAGGCUAUACCCCACCCGUUUUUGUGGCCUUUUUCCUCUGGACGAACUUUGCGCCCCGGCCUUCGGGCAGUUAUUUUUGGGCGUGGCUUUGCCUGCGGCCUAUUUUUGGUACAAGGAGGCCCCUCGCAAAGUCUCGCGGCAUUCCGAGUCCGGCGGACGAAGUUGGCCAGCCCCACCACCCAAGGCUAUAGCCCACCCGUUUUUGUGGCCUUUUUCCGCUGGACGAACUUGGCGCCCCGGCCUUCGGGCAGUUAUUUUUGGGUACGGCUUUGACCGCAGCCUAUUUUUGGCACACGGAGGCCCCUCGCAAAGUCUCGCGGCAUUCCGAGUCCGGCGGACGAAGUUGGCCAGCCCCACCCACCAAGGCUAUUGCCCACCCGUUUUUGUGGCCUUUUUCCGCUGGACGAACUUGGCGCCCCGGCCUUCGGGCAGUUAUUUUUGGGCGUGGCUUUGCCCGUGGCCUACUUUUUGCACCUGGAGGUGCCUUGUAAAGUCUCGCGGCAUUCCUAGUCCGGCGGACGAGGUUGGCCAGCCCCACCCCCCAAGGCUAUAGCCCACCCGUUUUUGUGGCCUUUUUCCGCUGGACAAACUUGGCGCUCCGGCCUUCGGGCGUUUAUUUUUGGGCGCGGCUUUCCCACAGCCUAUUUUUGGCACACGAAGGCCCCUCGUAAAGUCUCGUGGCAUUCCGAGUCCGGCGGACGAAGUGGGCCAGCCCCACCCCCCAAGGCUAUAGCCCACCCGUUUUUGUGGCCUUUUUCCGCUGGACGAACUUGGCGCCCCGGCCUUCGGGCAUUUAUUUUUGGCGCGGCUUUGCCCGUGGUCUAUUUCUGGCACACGGAGGCCCCUCGCAAAGUCUCACGGCAUUCCGAGUCCGGCGGACGAAGUUGGACAGCCCCACACCCCAAGGCUAUAGCCCACCCGUUUUUGUGGCCUUUUUCCGCUGGACGAACAUGGCGCCCCGGCCUUCGGGCGUUUAUUUUUGGGCAUUCCGAGUCCGGCGGCCGAAGUUGGCCGGCACCACCCCCCAAGGCUAUAGCCCACCUUUUUUUGUGGCCUUUUUCCGCUGGACGAACUUGGCGCCCCGGCUUUCGGGCGGCUAUUUUUGGGUGCGGCUUUGCUCGCGACCGACUUUUGGCACACGGAGGUGCCUUGCAAAGUCUCGCGGCAUUCCGAGUCCGGCGGACGAGGUUGGCCAGCCCCACCCCCCAAGGCUAUACCCCACCCGUUUUUGUGGCCUUUUUCCUCUGGACGAAUUUGGCGCCCCGGCCUUCGGGCCGUUAUUUUUGGGCGUGGCUUUGCCUGCGGCCUAUUUUUGGUACAAGGAGGCCCCUCGCAAAGUCUCGCGGCAUUCCGAGUCCGGCGGACGAAGUUGGCCAGCCCCACCACCCAAGGCUAUAGCCCACCCGUUUUUGUGGCCUUUUUCCGCUGGACGAACUUGGCGCCCCGGCCUUCGGGCGGUUAUUUUUGGGCACGGCUUUGACCGCAGCCUAUUUUUGGCACACGGAGGCCCCUCGCAAAGUCUCGCGGCAUUCCGAGUCCGGCGGACGAAGUUGGCCAGCCCCACCCACCAAGGCUAUUGCCCACCCGUUUUUGUGGCCUUUUUCCGCUGGACGAACUUGGCGCCCCGGCCUUCGGGCGGUUAUUUUUGGGCGAGGCUUUGCCCGUGGCCUAAUUUUUGCACCUGGAGGUGCCUUGUAAAGUCUCGCGGCAUUCCUAGUCCGGCGGACGAGGUUGGCCAGCCCCACCCCCCAAGGCUAUAGCCCACCCGUUUUUGUGGCCUUUUUCCGCUGGACAAACUUGGCGCUCCGGCCUUCGGGCGUUUAUUUUUGGGCGCGGCUUUCCCACAGCCUAUUUUUGGCACACGAAGGCCCCUCGCAAAGUCUCGUGGCAUUCCGAGUCCGGCGGACGAAGUGGGCCAGCCCCACCCCCCAAGGCUAUAGCCCACCCGUUUUUGUGGCCUUUUUCCGCUGGACGAACUUGGCGCCCCGGCCUUCGGGCAUUUAUUUUUGGCGCGGCUUUGCCCAUGGUCUAUUUCUGGCACACGGAGGCCCCUCGCAAAGUCUCACGGCAUUCCGAGUCCGGCGGACGAAGUUGGACAGCCCCACCCCCCAACGCUAUAGCCCACCCGUUUUUGUGGCCUUUUUCCGCUGGACGAAAUUGGCGCCCCGGCCUUCGGGCGGUUAUUUUUGGGCACAGCUUUGCCCGCGGCCUAUUUUUGGCACACGAAGGCCCCUCGUAAAGUCUCGUGGCAUUCCGAGUCCGGCUGCCGAAGUUGGCCGGCCCCACCCCCCAAGGCUAUAGCCGACCUGUUUUUGUGGCCUUUUUCCGCUGGACGAACUUGGCGCCCCGGCCUUCGGGCAUUUAUUUUUGGGCGCGGCUUUGACCGUGGCCUAUUUUUGGCACACGGAGGCACCUCGCAAAGUCUCGCGGCAUUCCGAGUCCGGCGGACGAAGUUGGCCAGCCCCACCCCCCAAGGCUAUACCCCACCCGUUUUUGUGGCCUUUUUCCUCUAGACGAACUUGGCGCCCCGGCCUUCGGGCGGUUAUUUUUGGGCGUGGCUUUGCCUGCGGCUUAUUUUUGGUACAAGGAGGCCCCUCGCAAAGUCUCGCGGCAUUCCGAGUCCGGCGGACGAAGUUGGCCAGCCCCACCACCCAAGGCUAUAGCCCACCCGUUUUUGUGGCCUUUUUCCGCUGGACGAACUUGGCGCCCCGGCCUUCGGGCGGUUAUUUUUGGGCACGGCUUUGACCGCACCCUAUUUUUGGCACAUGGAGGCCCCUCGCAAAGUCUCGCGGCAUUCCGAGUCCGGCGGAUGAAGUUGGCCAGCCCCCCCCCCCAAGGCUAUAGCCCACCCAUUUUUGCGGACUUUUUCCGCUGUACGAACUUGGCGCCCCGGCCUUCGGGUGGUUAUUUUUGGGCGCGGCUUUGCCCGCGGCCUAUUUUUGGAACACGGAGGCACCUCGUAAAGUCUCGCGCCAUUCCGAGUCUGGCGGACGAAGUGGGCCAGCCCCACCCCCCAAGGCUAUAGCCCACCCGUUUUUGUGGCCUUUUUCCGCUGGACGAACUUGGCGCCCCGGCCUUCGGGGUGUUAUUUUUGGGCGCGGCUGUGCCCGCGGCCUAUUUUUGGCAAACGGAGGCGCCUCGUAAACUCUGGCGCCAUUCCGAGUCCGGCGGACGAAGUUGGCCAGCCCCACCCCCCAAGGCUAUAGCCCACCCGUUUUUGUGGCCUUUUUCCGCUAGACGAACUUGGCGCCCCGGCCUUCGGGCUGUUAUUUUUUGGCACGGCUGUGUCCGCGGCCUAUUUAUGGCAAACGGAGGCACCUCGCAAAGUCUCGCGCCAUUCCGAGUCCGGCGGACGAAGUUGGCCAGCACCACCCCCAAAGGCUAUAGCCCACCCGUUUUUGUGGCCUUUUUCCGCUGGACGAACUUGGCGCCCCGGCCUUCGGGCUGUUAUUUUUGGACGCGGCUUUAUCCGCGGCCUAUUUUUGGCACAGGGAGGUGCCUCGCAAAGUCUCGCGCCAUUCCGAGUCCGGCGGACGAAGUUGGCCAGCCCCACCCCCCAAGGCUAUAGCCCACCCGUUUUUGUGGCCUUUUUCCGCUAGACGAACUUGGCGUCCCGGCCUUCGGGCGGUUAUUUUUGGAUGCGGCUGUGCCCGCGGCUUAUUUUUGGCACACAGAGGCGCCUCGCAAAGUCUUACGCGAUUCCUAGUCCGGCGGACGAAGUUGGCCAGCCCCACCCCCCAAGGCUAUAGCCCACCCGUUUUUGUCGCCUUUUUCCGCUGGACGAACUUGGCGCCCUGGCCUUUUGGCGGUUAUUUUUGGGCGUGGCUUUGCCCGCGGCCUAUUUUUGGCACACGGAGAACCCUCGCAAAGUCUCGCGGCAUUCCGAGUCCGGCGGACGAAGUUGGCCCGCCACACCCCCCAAGGCUAUAGCCCACCCGUUUUUGUGGCCUUUUUCCACAGGACGAACUUGGCGCCCCGGCCUUCGGGCGGUUAUUUUUGGACGCGGCUUUGGCCGCGGCCUAAUUUUGGCACCCGGAGGCGCCUUACAAAGUCUCGCGGCAUUCCGAGUCCGGCGGACGGGGUUGGCCAGCCCCACCCCCCAAGGCUAUAGCCCACCCGUUUUUGUGGCCUUUUUCCGCUGGACGAACUUGGCGCCCCGGCCUUCGGGCGGUUAUUUUUGGACGCGGCUUUCCCACAGCCUAUUUUUGGCACACGAAGGCCCCUCGCAAAGUCUCGUGGCAUUCCGAGUCCGGCGGACGAAGUGGGCCAGCCCCACCCCCCAAGGCUAUAGCCCACCCGUUUUUGUGGCCUUUUUCCGCUGGACGAACUUGGCGCCCCGGCCUUCGGGCAUUUAUUUUUGGGCGCGGCUUUGCCCGUGGUCUAUUUCUGGCACACGGAGGCCCCUCGCAAAGUCUCACGGCAUUCCGAGUCCGGCGGACGAAGUUGGACAGCCCCACCCCCCAACGCUAUAGCCCACCCGUUUUUGUGGCCUUUUUCCGCUGGACGAAAUUGGCGCCCCGGCCUUCGGGCGGUUAUUUUUGGGCACGGCUUUGACCGCAGCCUAUUUUUGGCACACGGAGGCCCCUCGCAAACUCUCGCGGCAUUCCAAGUCCGGCGGACGAAGUGGGCCAGCCCCACCCACCAAGGCUAUUGCCCACCCAUUUUUGUGGCCUUUUUCCGCUGGACGAACUUGGCGCCCUGGCCUUCGGGCGGUUAUUUUUGGGCGCGGCUUUGCCCGCGGCCUAUUUUUGGCACACAGAGGACCCUCGCAAAGUCUCACGGUAUUCCGAGUCCGGCGGCUGAAGUUGGCCAGCCCCACCCCCCAAGGCUAUAGCCCACCCGUUUUUGUGGCCUUUUUCCGCUGGACGAACUUGGCGCCCCGGCCUUCGGGCGGUUAUUUUUGGGCGCGGCUUUGUCCGCGGCCUAUUUUUGGCAUACGGAUGCCCCUCGGAAAGUCUAGCGGCAUUCCGACUCCGGCGGACGAAGUUGGCCAGCCCCACCCCGCAAGGCUAUAGCCCACUCGUUUUCGUGGCCUUUUUCCGCUGGACGAACUUGGCGCCCCGGCCUUCGGGCGGUUAUUUUUGGGUACGGCUUUGCCCGUAGCCUAUUUUUGGCACACGGAGGCCCCUCGCAAAGUCUCGCGGCAUUCCGAGUCCGGCGGACGAAGUUGGCCAGCCCCACCCCCCAAGGCUAUAGCCCACCCGUUUUUGUGGCCUUUUCCCGCAGGACGAACUUGGCGCCCCGGCCUUCGGGCUGUUAUUUUUGGGCGUGGCUUUGUCCGUGGCCUAUUUUUGGCACACGGGGGCCCCUCGUAAAGUCUCGCGGCAUUCCGAGUCCGGCGGAUGAAGUUGGCCAGUCCCACCCCCCAAGGCUAUAGCCCACCCGUUUUUGUGGCCUUUUUCCGCUGGACGAACUUGGCGCCCCGGCCUUCGGUCGGUUAUUUUUGGGCGCGGCUUUGCCCAAGGCCUAUUUUUGGCACACGGAGAUGCCUCGCAAAAUCUCGCGCCAUUCCGAGUCCGGCGGACGAAGUUGGCCAGCCCCACCCCCCAAGGCUAUAGCCCACCCGUUUUUGUGGCCUUUUUCCGCUGGACGAACUUGGCGCCCCGGCCUUCGGUCGGUUAUUUUUGGGCGCGGCUUUGUCCAGGCCUAUUUUUGGCACACGGAGAUGCCUCGCAAAAUCUCGCGCCAUUCCGAGUCCGGCGGAAGAAGUUGGCCAGCCCCACCCCCCAAGGCUAUAGCCCACCCGUUUUUGUGGCCUUUUUCCGCUGGACGAACUUCGCGCCCCGGCCUUCGGGCAUUUAUUUUUGGGUGCGGCCUUGGCCGCGGCCUACUUUUGGCCCACGGAGGCGCCUCGCAAAGUCUCGCGCCAUUCCGAGUCCGGCGGACGAUGUUGGCCAGUCCCACCCCCCAGGCUAUAGCCCACCCGUUUUUGUGGCCUUUUUCCGCUGGACGAACUUGGCGCCCCGGCCUUCGGGCGGUUAUUUUUGGGCGCAUCUGUGUCCGCGGCCUAUUUUUGGCACAUGGAGGCGCCUCGCAAAGUCUCGCGCCAUUCCUAGUCCAGCGGACGAAGUUGGCCAGCCCCACCCCCCAAGCCUAUAGCCCACCCGUUUUUGUGGCCUUUUUCCACACGACGAACUUGGCGCCCCAGCCGUCGGGCGGUUUUUUUUGGGCGCGGCUGUACCAGCGGCCUAUUUUUGGCACACGGAGGCACCUCGCAAAGUCUUGCGCCAUUCUGAGUCCGGCGGACGAAGUUGGCCAGCCCCACGCCCAAAGGCUAUUGCCCACCCGUUUUUGUGGCCUUUUUCCACAGGACGAACUUGGCGCCCCGGCCUUCGGGUGGUUAUAUUUGGGAAUGGCUGUGCCCGCGGCCUAUUUUUGGCACACGGAGGCGGCUCGCAAUGUCUCGCGCCAUUACGAGUCCGGCGGACGAAGUUGUCCAGCCCCACCCACCAAGGCUAUAGCCCACCCGUUUUUGUGGCCGUUUUCCGCUGGACGAACUUGUCGCCACGGCCUUCAGGCGGUUAUUUUUGGGCGUGGCUGUGGCCGCGGCCUAUUAUUGGCACACGGAGGUGCCUCGCAAAAUCUCGCGCCAUUCCGAGUCCGGCGGACGAAGUUGGCCAGCCCCACCCACCAAGGCUAUAGCCCACCCGUUUUUGUGGCCUUUUUCCGCUGGACGAACUUGGCGCCCCGGCCUUCGGGCGGUUAUUUUUAUGCGCGGCUGUGUCCGCGGCCUAUUUUUGGCACAUGGAGGCGCCACGCAAAGUCUCGCACCAUUCCGAGUCCGGCGGACGAAGUUGGCCAGCCCCACCCCCCAAGGCUAUAGCCCACCCGUUUUUGUGGCCUUUUUCCACUGGACGAACUUGGCGCCCCGGCCUUCGGGCGGUUAUUUUUGGGCGCGGCUGUGCCCGCGGCCUAUUUUUGGCACACGGAGGCGCCUCGCAAAGUCUCGCGCCAUUCCGAGUCCGGCGGACGAAGUUGGCCAGCCCCACCCCCCAAGGCUAUAGCCCACCCGUUUUUGUGGCCUUUUUCCGCUGGACGAACUUGGCGCCCCGGCCUUCGGGCGGUUAGUUUUGGGCGCGGCUGUGCCCGUGGCGUAUUUUUAGCACACGGACGUGCCUCGCAAUGUCUCGCGCCAUUCCUAGUCCGGCGGACGAAGUUGGCCAGCCCCACAACCAAAGGCUAUAGCCCACCCGUUUUUGUGGGGUUUUUCCGCUGGACGAACUUGGCGCCCCGGCCUUCGGGCGGUUAUUUUUGGGCGCGGCUGUGCCCGCAGCCUAUUUUUGGCACACGGAGGCACCUCGCAAAGUCUCGCGCCAUUCCGAGUCUGGCGGACGAAGUGGGCCAGCCCCACCCCCCAAGGCUAUAGCCCACCCGUUUUUGUGGCCUUUUUCCGCUGGACGAACUUGGCGCCCCGGCCUUCGGGCGGUUAUUUUUGGGCGCGGCUGUGCCCGCGGCCUAUUUUUGGCACACGGAGGCGCCUCGCAAACUCUCGCGCCAUUCCGAGUCCGACGGACGAAGUUGGCCAGCCCCAGCCCCCAAGGCUAUAGCCCUCCCGUGUUUGUGGCCUUUUUCCGCUGGACGAACUUGGCGUCCCGGCCUUCGGGUGGUUAUUAUAGGAUGCGGCUGUGCCCGUGGCCUAUUUUUGGCACAUGCAGGUGCCUCGCAAAGUCUGGGGCCAUUCCGAGUCCGGCGGACGAAGUUGGCCAGCCCCACCCCCCAAGGAUAUAGCCCACCCGUUUUUGUGGCCUUUUUCCGCUGGACGAACUUGGCGCCCCGGCCUUCGGGCGGUUAUUUUUGGACGCGGCUGUGCCCGUGGCCUGUUUUUGGCACAUGGAGGUGCCUCGCAAAGUCUCACACCAUUCCGAGUCCGACGGACGAAGUUGGCCAGCCCCACCCCCCAAGGCUAUAGCCCACCCGUUUUUGUGGCCUUUUUCCGCUGGACGAACUUGGCGCCCCGGCCUUCGGGUGGUUAUUUUUGGGCACGGCUGUGACCGUGGCCUAGUUUUGGCACACGGAGGUGCCUCGCAAAGUCUCGCGCCAUUCCGAGUCCGGCGGACGAUGUUGGCCAGCCCCACCCCCCAAGCCUAUAGCCCACCCGUUUUUGUGGCCUUUUUCGACUCGACGAACUUGGCGCCCCAGCCGUCGGGCGGUUAUUUUUGGGCGCGGCUGUACCAGCGGUGUAUUUUUGGCACACGGAGGUGCCUCGAAAAGUCCUGCGCCAUUCUGAGUCCGGCGGACGAAGUUGGCCAGCCCCACGCCCCAAGGCUAUUGCCCACCCUUUUUUGUGGCCUUUUUCCACAGGACGAACUUGGCGCCCCGGCCUUCGGGUGGUUAUAUUUGGGAACGACUGUGCCCACGGCCUAUUUUUGGCACACGGAGGCGCCUCGCAAUGUCUCGCGCCAUUACGAGUCCGGCGGACGAAGUUGGCCAGCCCCACCCACCAAGGCUAUAGCCCACCCGUUUUUGUGGCCUUUUUCCGCUAGACGAACUUGUCGCCCCGGCCUUCAGGCGGUUAUUUUUGGGUUCGGCUGUGCCCGCGGCCUAUUAUUGGCACACGGAGGCGCCUCGCAGAGUCUCGCACCAUUCCGAGUCCGGCGGACGAAGUUGGCCAGCCCCACCCACCAAGGCUAUAGGCCACCCGUUUUUGUGGCCUUUUUCCGCUGGACGAACUUGGCGCCCCGGCCUUCGGGCGGUUAUUUUUAUGCGCGGCUGUGUCCGCGGCCUAUUUUUGGCGCACGGAGGCACCUCGCAAAGUCUCGCACCAUUCCGAGUCCGGCGGACGAAGUUGGCCAGCCCCAUCCCCCAAGGCUAUGGCCCACCCGUUUUUGUGACUUUUUUCCACUGGACGAACUUGGCGCCCCGGCCUUCGGGCGGUUAUUUUUUGGCGCGGCUGUGCCCGCGGCCUAUUUUUGGCACACGGAGGUGCCUAGCAAAGUCUCACGCCAUUCCGAGUCCUGCGGAAGAAGUUGGCCUGCCCCACCCCCCAAGGCUAUGGCCAACCCAUUUUUGUGGCCUUUUUCCGCUGGACGAACUUGGCGCCCCGGCCUUCGGGUGGUUAUUUUUUGGAGCAGCUGUGCCCACGGCCUGUUUUUUGCACACGGAGGCCCCUCGCAAAGUCUCGCGCCAUUCCGAGUCCGGCGGACGAUGUUGGCCAGCCCCACCCCCCAAGGCUAUAUCCCACCCGAUUUUGUGGCCUUUUUCCACUGGACGAACUUGGCGCCCCGGCCUUCGGGUGGUUAUUUUUGGGCGCGGCGGUGCCCGCGGCCUAUUUUUGGCACACGGAGGCCCCUCGCAAAGUCUCGCUCCAUUCCGAGUCCGGCGCACGAAGUUGGCCAGCCCCACCCCCCAAGGCUAUGGCCCACCCGUUUUUGUGGCCUUUUUCCGCUGGACGAACUUGGCGCCCCGGCCUUCGGGCUGUUAUUUUUUGGCGCGGCUAUGCCCGCGGCCUAUUUUUGGUACACGGAGGUGCCUCGCAAAGUCUCGCGCCAUUCCGGGUCCGGCGAACGAAGUUGGCCAGCCCCAACCCCCAAGCCUAUAGCCCACCCGUUUUUGUGGGCUUUUUCCGCUGGACGAACUUGGUGCCCCGGCCUUCGGGUGGUUAUUUUUUGGCGCGGCUGUGCCCGCGGCCUAUUUUUUACACACGGAGGCGCCUCGCAAAGUCUCGCGCCAUUCCGAGUCCGGCGGAAGAAGUUGGCCUGCCCCACCCCCCAAGGCUAUGGCCCACCCGUUUUUGUGGCCUUUUUCCGCUGGACGAACUUGGCGCCCCGGCCUUCGGGCGGUCAUUUUUGGGCGCGGCUGUGCCCACGGCCUAUUUUUAGCACACGGAGGUGCUUCGCAAAGUCUCGCGCCAUUCUGAGUCCGGCGGACGAAGUUGGCCAGCCCCACCCCCCAAGGCUAUAGCCCACCCGUUUUUGUGGGCUUUUUCCGCUGGACGAACUUGGCGCCCCGGCCUUUGGGUGGUUAUUUUUGGGUACGGCUGUGCCCGCAGCCUAUUUUUGGCAGAUGGAGGAACCUCACAAAGUCUCACGCCAUUCCGAGUCCGGCGGACGAAGUCGGCCAGCCCCACCCCGCAAGGAUAUAGCCCACCCGUUUUUGUGGCUUUUUUCCACUGGACGAACUUGGCGCCCCGACCUUCGGGCGGUUAUUUUUUGUCGCGGCUGUGCCCGCGGCCUAUUUUUGGCACACGGAGGCGCCUAGCAAAGUCUCGCGCCAUUCCGAGUCCGGCGGAAGAAGUUGGCCUGCCCCAUCCCCCAAGGCUAUGGCCAACCCGUUUUUGUGGCCUUUUUCCGCUGGACGAACUUGGCGCCCCGGCCUUCGGGCAGUUAUUUUUUGGCACGGCUGUGCCCACGGCCUGUUUUUGGCACACGGCGGCGCCUCGUAAAGUCUCGCGCCAUUCCGAGUCCGGCGGACGAAGUCGGCCAGCCCCACCCCCCAAGGCUAUAGCCCACCCGUUUUUGUGGGCUUUUUCCGCUGGACGAACUUGGCGCCCCGGCCUUUGGGCGGUUAUUUUUUGGCGCGGCUGUGCCCGCGGCCUACUUUUGGCACACGGAGGCGCCUCACAAAGUCUCGCGCCAUUCCGAGUCCGGCGGAGGAAGUUGGCCUGCCCCAUCCCCCAAGGCUAUGGCCCACCCAUUUUUGUGGUCUUUUUCCGCUGGACGAACUUGGCGCGCCAGCCUUCGGGCGGUUAUUUUUGGUGCGGCUUUGCCCACGGGCUAUUUUUGGCACACGGAGGCACCUCGCAAAGUCUCGCGCCAUUCUGAGUCCGGCGGACGAUGUUGGCCAGCCCCACCCCCCAAGGCUAUAGCCCACCCGUUUUUGUGGCCUUUUUCCGCUGGACGAACUUGGCGCCCCGGCCUUCGGGCGGUCAUUUUUGGGCGCGGCUGUGCCCACGGCCUAUUUUUAGCACACGGAGGUGCCUCGCAAAGUCUCACGCCAUUCUGAGUCCGGCGGACGAAGUUGGCCAGCCCCACCCCCCAAGGCUAUAGCCCACCCGUUUUUGUGGGCUUUUUCCGCUGGACGAACUUGGCGCCCCGGCCUUUGGGUGGUUAUUUUUGGGUACGGCUGUGCCCGCAGCCUAUUUUUGGCAGAUGGAGGAACCUCACAAAGUCUCACGCCAUUCCGAGUCCGGCGGACGAAGUCGGCCAGCCCCACCCCGCAAGGAUAUAGCCCACCCGUUUUUGUGGCUUUUUUCCACUGGACGAACUUGGCGCCCCGACCUUCGGGCGGUUAUUUUUUGUCGCGGCUGUGCCCACGGCCUAUUUUUGGCACAUGGAGGCGCCUAGCAAAGUCUCGCGCCAUUCCGAGUCCGGCGGAAGAAGUUGGCCUGCCCCACCCCCCAAGGCUAUGGCCAACCCGUUUUUGUGGCCUUUUUCCGCUGGACGAACUUGGCGCCCCGGCCUUCGGGCAGUUAUUUUUUGGCGCGGCUGUGCCCACGGCCUGUUUUUGGCACACGGAGGUGCCUUGUAAAGUCUCGCGCCAUUCCGAGUCCGGCGGACGAAGUCGGCCAGCCCCACCCCCCAAGGCUAUAGCCCACCCGUUUUUGUGGGCUUUUUACGCUGGACGAACUUGGCGCCCCGGCCUUCGGGCGGUUAUUUUUUGCCGCGACUGUGCCCGCAGCCUAUUUUUGUCACACGGAGGCGCCUCGCAAUGUCUCGCGCCAUUCCGAGUCCGGCGGAUGAAGUUCGUCGGCCCCACCCCCCAAGGCUAUAUCCCACCCGUUUUUGUGGCCUUUUUCCACUGGACGAACUUGGCGCCCCGGCCUUUGGGUGGUUAUUUUUGGGCGCGGCGGUGCCCGCGGCCUAUUUUUGGCACUCGGAGGCCCCUCGCAAAGUCUCGCGCCAUUCGGAGUCCGGCGCACGAAGUUGGCCAGCCCCACCCCCCAAGGCUAUGGCCCACCGUUUUUGUGGCCUUUUUCCGCUGGACGAACUUGGCGCACCGGCCUUCGGGCGGUUAUUUUUUGGCGCGGCUGUGCCCGCGGCCUAUUUUUGGCACACGGAGGUGCCUCGCAAAGUCUCGCGCCAUUCCGGGUCCGGCGGACGAAGUUGGCCAGCCUCAACCCCCAAGGCUAUAGCCCACCUGUUUUUGUGGGCUUUUUCCGCUGGACGAACUUGGUGCCCCGGCCUUCGGGCGGUUAUUUUUUGGCGCAGCUGUGCCCGCGGCCUAUUGUUGGCACAUGGAGGCGCCUCGCAAAGUCUCGCGCCAUUCCGGGUCCGGCGGACGAAGUUGGCCAGCCUCAACCCCCAAGGCUAUAGCCCACCUGUUUUUGUGGGCUUUUUCCGCUGGACGAACUUGGUGCCCCGGCCUUCGGGGGGUUAUUUUUUGGCGCGGCUGUGCCCGCGGCCUAUUUUUGGCACACGGAGGCAUCUCGCAAAGUCUCGCGCCAUUCCGAGUCCGGCGGAAGAAGUUGGCCUGCCCCACCCCCCAAGGCUAUAUCCCACCCAUUUUUGUGGCCUUUUUCCACUGGACGAACUUGGAGCCCCGGGCUUCGGACGGUUAUUUUUGGGGGCGGCUGUGCCCGCGGCCUAUUUUUGGCACACGGAGGCGCCUCGCAAAGUCUCGCGCCAUUCCGAGUCCGGCGGACGAAGUUGGCCUGCCCACCCCCCAAGGCUAUGGCCCACCCGUUUUUGUGGCCUUUUUCCGCUGGACGAACUUGGCGCCCCGGCCUGCGGGUGGUUAUUUUUGGGCGCGGCUGUGCGCACGGCCUAUUUUUGGCACAUGGAGGAGCCUCGCAAAGUCUCGCGCCAUUCCGAGUCCGGCGGACGAAGUCGGCCAGCCCCACCCCCCAAGGCUAUUGCCCACCCGUUUUUGUGGCCUUUUUCCGCUGGACGAACUUGGCGCCCCGGCCUUCGGGCGGUUAUUUUUGGGCGCGGCUUUGCCCGUGGCCUACUUUUGGCACCUGGAGGUGCCUUGUAAAGUCUCGCGGCAUUCCUAUUCCGGCGACGAGGUUGGCCAGCCCCACCCCCCAAGGCUAUAGCCCACCCGUUUUUGUGGCCUUUUUCCGCUGGACAAACUUGGCGCCCCGGCCUUCGGGCGUUUAUUUUUGGGCGCGGCUUUGCCCGUGGCCUAUUUUUGGCACACGAAGGCCCCUCGCAAAGUCUCGUGGCAUUCCGAGUCCGGCUGCCGAAGUUGGCCGGCCCCACCACCAAGGCUAUAGCCGACCUGUUUUUGUGGCCUUUUUCCGCUGGACGAACUUGGCGCCCCGGCCUUCGGGCAUUUAUUUUUGAGCGCGGCUUUGACCGUGGCCUAUUUUUGGCACACGGAGGCACCUCGCAAAGUCUCGCGGUAUUCCGAGUCCGGCGGACGAGGUUGGCCAGCCCCACCCCCCAAGGCUAUACCCCACCCGUUUUUGUGGCCUUUUUCCUCUGGACGAACUUGGCGCCCCGGCCUUCGGGUGGUUAUUUUUGGGCGUGGCUUUGCCUGCGGCUUAUUUUUGGUACAAGGAGGCCCCUCGCAAAGUCUCGCGGCAUUCCGAGUCCGGCGGACGAAGUUGGCCAGCCCCACCACCCAAGGCUAUAGCCCACCCGUUUUUGUGGCCUUUUUCCGCUGGACGAACUUGGCGCCCCGGCCUUCGGGCGGUUAUUUUUGGGUACGGAUUUGACCGCACACUAUUUUUGGCACACGGAGGCCCCUCGUAAAGUCUCGCGGCAUUCCGAGUCCGGCGGACGAAGUUGGCCAGCCCCACCCACCAAGGCUAUUGCCCACCCAUUUUUGUGGCCUUUUUCCGCUGGACGAACUUGGCGCCCUGGCCUUCGGGCGGUUAUUUUUGGGCGCGGCUUUGCCCUCGGCCUAUUUUUGGCACACAGAGGACCCUCGCAAAGUCUCACGGUAUUCCGAGUCCGGCGGAUGAAGUUGGCCAUCCCCACCCCCCAAGGCUAUAGCCCACCCGUUUUUGUGGCCUUUUUCCGCUGGACGAACUUGGCGCCCCGGCCUUCGGGCGGUUAUUUUUGGGCGCGGGUUUGCCUGCGCCCUAUUUUUGGUACACGGGGGACCCUCGUAAAGUCUCGCGGCAUUCCGAGUCCGGCGGAUGAAGUUGGCCAGCCCCACCCCCCAAGGCUAUAGCCCACCCAUUUUUGUGGCCUUUUUCCGCUGUACGAACUUGGCGCCCCGGCCUUCGGGUGGUUAUUUUUGGGCGCGGCUUUGCCCGCGGCCUAUUUUUGGAACACGGAGGCCCCUCGCAAAGUCUCGCGGCUUUCCGAGUCCGGCGGACGAAGGUGGCCGGCCCCACCCCCAAGGCUAUAGCCCACCCGUUUUUAUGGCCUUUUUCCGCUGGACGAACUUGGCGUCCCGGCCUUCGGGUGGUUAUUUUUAGGCGCGGCUUUGCCUGCGGCCUAUGUUUGGCAAACGGAGGUGCCUCGCAAAGUCUCGCGCCAUUCCGAGUCCGGCGGACGAAGUCGGCCAGCCCCACCCCCCAAGGCUAUAGCCCACCCGUUUUUGUGGCCUUUUUCCGCUGGACGAACUUGGCGCCCCGGCCUUCGGGGGGUUAUUUUUGGGCGCGGCUGUGCCCGCGGCCUAUUUUUGGCAAACGGAGGCGCCUCGUAAACUCUCGCGCCAUUCCGAGUCCGGCGGACGAAGUGGGCCAGCCCCACCCCCCAAGGCUAUAGCCCACCCGUUUUUGUGGCCUUUUUCCGCUGGACGAAGUUGGCGCCCCGGCCUUCGGGCUGUUAUUUUUUGGCACGGCUGUGUCCGCAGCCUAUUUAUGGCAAACGGAGGCACCUCGCAAAGUCUCGCGCCAUUCCGAGUCCGGCGGACGAAGUUGGCCAGCACCACCCCCAAAGGCUAUAGCCCACCCGUUUUUGUGGCCUUUUUCCGCUGGACGAACUUGGCGCCCCGGCCUUCGGGGGGUUAUUUUUGGGCGCGGCUUUGUCCACGGCCUAUUUUUGGCACAGGGAGGCACCUCGCAAAGUCUCGCGCCAUUCCGAGUCCGGCGGACGAAGUUGGUCAGCCCCACCCCCCAAGGCUAUAGCCCACCCGUUUUUGUGGCCUUUUUCCGCUGGACGAACUUGGCGCCCCGGCCUUCGGGCGGUUAUUUUUGGGCGCGGCUGUGCCCGCGGCCUAUUUUUGGCACACGGAGGCACCUCGCAAAGUCUCGCGCCAUUCCGAGUCCGGCGGACGAAGUCGGCCCGCCCCACCCCCCAAGGCUAUAGCCCACCCGUUUUUGUGGCCUUUUUCCGCUGGACGAACUUGGCGCCCCGGCCUUCGGGCGGUUAUUUUUGGGCGCGACUGUACCCGCGGCCUAUUUUUGGCACACGGACGCGCCUCGCCAAGUCUCGCGCCAUUCCGAGUCCGGCGGACGAUGUUGGCCAGCCCCACCCCCCAAGGCUAUAGCCCACCCGUUUUUGUGGCCUUUUUCCGCUGGAUGAACUUGGCGCCCCGGCCACCGGGCUGUUAUUUUUGGGCGCGGCUUUUUCCGCGGCCUAUUUUUGGCACACGGAGGACCAUCGCAAAGUCUCACGGUAUUCCGAGUCGGGCGGACAAAUUUGGCCAGCCCCACCCCCCAAGGCUAUAGCCCACCCGUUUUUGUGGCCUUUUUCCACUGGACAAACUUGGCGCCCCGGCCUUCGGGCGGUUAUUUUUGGGCGCGGCUGUGCCCGCGGCCUAUUUUUGGCACACGGAGGCAGCUCGCAAAGUCUCACGCCAUUCCGAGUCCGGCGGACGAAGUCGGCCCACCCCACCCCCCAAGGUUAUAGCCCACCCGUUUUUGUGGCGUUUUUCAGCUGGACGAACUUGGCGCCCCGGCCUUCGGGCCGUUAUUUUUGGGCGCGGCUGUUCCUGCGGCCUAUUUUUGGCACACGGAGGUGCCUUGCAAAGUCUCGCGCCAUUCCGAGUCCGGCGGACGAAGUUGGCCAGCCCCACCCCCCAAGGCUAUAGCCCACCCGUUUUUGUGGCCUUUUUCCGCUGGACGAACUUGGCGCCCCGGCCUUCGGGCAGUUAUUUUUGGGCGUGGCUUUGCCUGCGGCCUAUUUUUGGUACAAGGAGGCCCCUCGCAAAGUCUCGCGGCAUUCCGAGUCCGGCGGACGAAGUGGGCCAGCCCCACCCCCCAAGGCUAUAGCCCACACGUUUUUGUGGCCUUUUUCCGCUCGACGAACUUGGCGUCCCGGCCUUUGGGCAGUUAUUUUUGGGCGCGGCUGUGCCCGUGGCCUAUUUUUGGCACACAGAGGUGCCUCGUAAAGUCUCGCGCCAUUCCGAGUCCGGCGGACUAAGUUGGCCAGGCCCACCCCCCAAGGCUAUAGCCCACCCGUUUUUGUGGCGUUUUUCAGCUGGACGAACUUGGCGACCCGGCCUUCGGGCCGUUAUUUUUGGGCGCGGCUGUUCCUGCGGCCUAUUUUUGGCACACGGAGGUGCCUCGCAAAGUCUCGCGCCAUUCCGAGUCCGGCGGACGAAGUUGGCCAGCCCCACCACCCAAGGCUAUAGCCCACCCGUUUUUGUGGCCUUUUUCCGCUGGACGAACUUGGCGCCCCGGCCUUCGGGCGGUUAUUUAUGGGCAUGGCUGUGCCCGCGGCCUAUUUUUUGCACACGAAGGCACCUCGCAAAGUCUCGUGCCAUUCCGUGUCCGGCGGACGAAGUUGGCGAGCCCCACCCCCCAAGGCUAUAGCCCACACGUUUUUGUGGCCUUUUUCCGCUCGACGAACUUGGCGUCCCGGCCUUUGGGCAGUUAUUUUUGGGCGCGGCUGUGCCCGUGGCCUAUUUUUGGCACACAGAGGUGCCUCGUAAAGUCUCGCGCCAAUCCGAGUCCGGCGGACUAAGUUGGCCAGGCCCACCCCCCAAGGCUAUAGCCCACCCGUUUUUGUGGCCUUUUUCCGCUAGACGAACUUGGCGCCCCGGCCUCCGGGCGUUUAUUUUUGGGCGUGGCUUUGUCCGCGGCCUAUUUUUGGCACACCGUGGCACCUCGCAAGGUCUCGCUCCAUUCCGAGUCCGGCGGACGAAGUUGGCCAGCCCCAACCCCCAAGGCUAUAGCCCACCCGUUUUUGUGGGCUUUUUCGGUUGGACGAACUUGGCGCCCCGGCCUUCGGGCGGUUAUUUUUGGGCAUGACUGUGCCCGCGGCCUAUUUUUGGCACACGAAGGCACCUCGCAAAGUCUCGUGCCAUUCCGUGUCCGGCGGACGAAGUUGGCGAGCCCCACCCCCCAAGGCUAUAUCCCACACGUUUUUGUGGCCUUUUUCCGCUGGACGAACUUGGCGCCCCGGCCUUCGGGCCGUUGUUUUUGGGCGCGGCUGUUCCCGCGGCCUAUUUUUGGCACACGGAGGUGCCUCGCAAAGUCUCGCGCCAUUCCGAGUCCGGCGGACGAAGUUGGCCAGCCCCACCCCCCAAGGCUAUAGCCCACCCGUUUUUGUGGCCUUUUUCCGCUGGACGAACUUGGCGCCCCGGCCUUCGGGCGGUUAUUUUUGGGCGCGGCUUUGUCCGCGGCGUAUUUUUGGCACACGGAGGCCCCUCACAAAGUCUCGCGCCAUUCCGAGUCCGGCGGACGAAGUUGGCCAGCCCCACCCCCCAAGGCUAUAGCCCACCCGUUUUUGUGGCCUUUUUCCGCUGGACGAACUUGGCGCCCCGGCCUUCGGGCGGUUAUUUUUGGGCGCGGCUUUGUCCGCGGCGUAUUUUUGGCACACGGAGGCCCCUCACAAAGUCUCGCAGCAUUCCGAGUCCGGCGGACGAACUUGGCCAGCCCCACCCCCCAAGGCUAUAGCCCACCCGUUUUUGUGGACUUUUUCCGCUGGACGAACUUGGCGCCCCGGCCAUCGGGCAGUGAUUUUUGGACGUCGCUUUUCCUGCGGCCUAUUUUUGGCACACGGAGGCCCCUUACAAAGUCUCGCGGCAUCCCGAGUCCGGCGGACGAAGUUGGCCAGCCCCACCCCCCAAGGCUAUAGCCCACCUGUUUUUGUGCCCUUUUUCCGCUGGACGAACUUGGCGCCCCGGCCUUCGGGUGGUUAUUUUUGUGCGCGGCUUUGCCCGCGGUAUAUUUUUGGCACACGUAGGUCCCUCGCAAAGUCUCGCGGCAUUCCGAGUCCGGCGGACGAAGGUUGCCAGCCCCACCCCCCAAGGCUAUAGCCCACCCGUUUUUGUGGCCUUUUUCCGCUGGACGAACUUGGCGCCCCGGGCUUCGGGCGGUUAUUUUUGGGCGCAGCUUUGGCCGCGGCCUAUUUUUGGCACACGGAGGCCCCUCGCAAAGUCUCGCCCCAUUCCGAGUCCGGCGGACGAAGUUGGCCAGCCCCACCCCCCAAGGCUAUAGCCCACCCGUUUUUGUGGCCUUUUUCCGCUGGACGAACUUCGCGCCCCGGCCUUCGGGCGGUUAGUUUUGGGCGUGGCUUUGACCACGGCCUAUUUUUUGCACACGGAGGCCCCUCGCAAAGUCUCGCGCCAUUCCGAGUCCGGCGGACAAAGGUUACCAGCCCCACCCCCCAAGGCUAUAGCCCACCCGUUUUUGUGGCCUUUUUCCGCUGGACGAACUUGGCGCCCCGGCUUUGGGGCGUUUAUUUUUGGGCACGGUUUGGCCACGGACUAUUUUUUUCACACGGAGGCCCCUCGCAAAGUCUCGGCCCAUUCCGAGUCCGGCGGACGAAGUUGGCCAGCCCCACCCCCCAAUGCUAUAGCCCACCCGUUUUUGUGGCCUUUUUCCGCUGGACGAACUUGGCGCCCCGGCCUUCGGGCGGUUAUUUUUGGGCGCAGCUUUGUCCGCGGCCUAUUUCUGCCACACGAAGGCCCCUCGCAAAGUCUCUCGGCAUUCCGAGUCCGGCGGACGAAGUUGGCCAGCCCCACCCGCCAAGGCUAUAGCCAACCCGUUUUUGUAGCCUUUUUCCGCUGGGCGAACUUGGCGCCCCGGCCUUCGGGCGGUUAUUUUUGGGCGCGGCUUUGCCCGCGGCCUAUUUUUGGCACACGGAGGCCCCUCGCAAAGUCUCGCGCCAUUCCGAGUCCGGCGGACGAAGUGGGCCAGCCCCACCCCCCAAGGCUAUAGCCCACCCGUUUUUGUGGCCUUUUUCCGCUGGACGAACUUGGCGCCCCGGCCAUCAGGCAGUGAUUUUUGGACGUCGCUUUUCCUGCGGCCUAUUUUUGGCACACGGAGGCCCCUUACAAAGUCUCGCGGCAUCCCGAGUCCGGCGGACG